Long non-coding RNA from Carassius auratus (goldfish), 1467 nucleotides. RefSeq lists it as uncharacterized. The record is from RefSeq and is a predicted model, not a curated record. The transcript has 4 exons. Lineage: Eukaryota; Metazoa; Chordata; Actinopteri; Cypriniformes; Cyprinidae.
CUCCACUUCUUCGAUGUUUCUCUUUAGAAACAGACUUCAAUAAUAAUUUUGUCUCUCUUGUGUAUCUCAGUUAUAGCUCACAUUGUGCUCUCAUAUAUGUCAGAUUUUUUAUGAAGUCCCUUCUUAAAAGAGCAUCACUAAUUAGCAACAAAACUGAUGGAUCUCUCCAACCAGGACUGGCUGAGCAGUGAAGUCAAGCAGCCUGUUGGAGACAGCAGCAUCCACUGAUGGAGAAGGUCACCUGAGGUUUGACCAAGUGUUUGACAGAUGCCCCUUGGUCUCUAAUCCGCCCCGGCUUAACUACCCUCAAACAGCAGCCAGAGAGAUCCGGAUUUCAUUUCCCCUGAGCCUGAUGUGAGCCUGAGAAGAGCAGUUCCAGAUCUGAUUGGAUGGUGCCAGAAUGUUCGGGAAAUAAGGAGUUAGAUGUAAACAUGAUUUAGACUCAAUGGCUGUGGGGGUUGAUUGAGAAAAUAACAGAGUGACUUUCCCAAGCAUCCAUCUGUGAAGUUUCAGCUCUCCUCCAGCUCCUGAGGUGAGAAAACCUUAACGCUUUUAUGACUUUAAAUCUGAGGAAUAAUGGAAAACAAACAACUGAUCAUUCGGCUCUGGAAUAUCAGAGUCUUUAGUUUACAAUCUCCAUUUGUAGAAGCAGAGGCUUUGAUUGAUUGCUGUUUACAUUCUGAGUUUCAGUCACAAGUUUAUGUCAUUCUGCUGUUAACCUCCAUCCUUUCCUCACACCUUUACAAACAGUACAGCAGUGAUACCAUGGUACAGGGAUGGGAUCAGAUAGCAGAACCAUGGGGCUUUGAUAUAGACACUAAUACUGAAUCUUCUCUUCGCUGUUUAUAGGCAUAAACAUAAAGUCAAACCUGGAAUUAACUGAUUUACAAGACUUCUCUCAGCAGGCAAGAAAGUACGAACAGAUAUAAUAAAGCUGAAAAUUUUUGAAAAGGUUUUACAUUUAUAAAAGCCAUUUACACCAGUAUUAAAAUAAUGUCCCACAUAUUAACUUUAUUCUGAAGGAAACUUGUGUGUUUUAAUAGACCAUGGUAUAUAUCGACAGGGCCUACCUGAUUCCACAAAUAAACCAUUCAACAGGAAUUUAACAAAAUCUCUCUUAAAUGCGUUCCCCAUCUCUCUGUCGGUGUGUUUUCACUUCUCGCCCUCACCGUCUCUGUAUAAUGUGCUCAUGGUGGCCCACUGCUGUGGCCAGUUGUGUGUUGUCACAGUAAAUUACUCUGACACACUGGAGGAGUGAUGGCUCUCAGUGGGUGGGAUGAAUGGAGAGGGUGUGUGUGUGUGUGUGUGUGAGAGAGAGAGUUGUGACAAUAUUGGGUUUGAUUCUGGCCUUCUUCACAGGACAUCCAUUUCCAGCAAUCCAUCUGGACUCUGCAGGAGUUUGUUUCUUUAGCUCGAGCACAAUUAGAUCUUGAUUCUUCCAUCAUAAAUUGAUGUGAUGUAUUCUUA